RNAcentral lists this ribosomal RNA (670 nucleotides) under Paenibacillus polymyxa. RNAcentral's name for it is "bacterial SSU rRNA". It matches the Rfam family "Bacterial small subunit ribosomal RNA", at positions 36 to 697 of the family's 1533-position model. Lineage: Bacteria; Bacillati; Bacillota; Bacilli; Caryophanales; Paenibacillaceae. The record is from RNAcentral.
CUGGCGGGUGCUACACUGCAGUCGAGCGGAGUUAAUUAGAAUCUUGCUUCUUUCUAACCGCGGACGGGUAAGGGUUGCUAACACGUCUGCCACCUGCCCGGGGACAGGGAUUCCUACCGGAAACGGUACCUAAUACCCGAUACAUCCUUUUCCUGCAUGGGAGAAGGAGAAAGGCUGAGCAUCUGUCACUUGUGGAUGGGCCUGCGGCGCAUUAGCUAGUUGGUGGGGUAACGGCCUACCAAGGCGACUAUGCGUAGCCGACCUGAGAGGGUGAUCGGCCACACUGGGACUGCACACGGCCCAGACUCCUACGGGAGGUGCAGUAGGGAAUCUUCCGCAAUGGGCGAAAGCCUGACGGAGCAACGCCGCGUGAGUAUGAAGGUUUUCGGAUCGUAAAGCUCUGUUGCCAGGGAAGAACGUCUUGUAGAUUAACUGCUCCAACAGUGACGGUACCUGAAAGAAAGCCCCGGCUAACUACGUGCCACCAGCCGCGGUAAUACUUAUGGGGCAAGCGUUGUCCGGAAUUAUUGGGCGUAAAGCGCGCGCAGGCGGCUCUUUAACUCUGGUGUUUAAUCCCAACGCUCAACUUCAGGUCGCACUGGAAACUGGGGAGCUUGAGUGCAAAUUACGAGAGUGGAAUCACCCUGGUAACAUAAAAGCCCAAAAAAAA